Long non-coding RNA from Chelonia mydas (Green sea turtle), 900 nucleotides. RefSeq lists it as uncharacterized. The transcript is spliced from 3 exons. The record is from RefSeq and is a predicted model, not a curated record. NCBI's taxonomy places the organism in Eukaryota, Metazoa, Chordata, Testudines, Cheloniidae.
CAGAUGCACUCUCAUUUCACUUAACACAGAAACUCACACAUUCAUAUGGAGCUUUCAUUUCCAGAUCUCUUGCACAAAUCCAACCCAGGUUAGCUGUGCUGAAAUCUUCUCUCGAGCCUCCUUUGCACAUGGAGUCCUAUGCAACUGAUCGAUAUUCCUUCCUAGAGAAGACUUCCAGAAAUGAGCUGGAAUUCUUUAUUAGUGCAUCCUUGUGAAGGUAAGGACAAAGUGAAGAAAAGCCCCCCACUCCCAGAUGGAUGUUUGUAAUCUCCAAAGACAGCAUACUCGGAUUUUAUAGUUUGAAUUUAGACGUCAUCUUCCUUAGCAGCUAAGGAGAUGUGCGAAGUGCUGGAUGCAUCCUCUAGAAGAGGACUAAGAAAACAUACAUUUUUCAUUUUGAACAUCAACAUUUUAAUAACUACUAAACUAGUAUGAUUGUUGUAUUUCCAGUUGCUUGAGUGGGGCAUGUUAUUUUUCUCUUUUAGGUGACCUGCUUCAUCUUUGAUCCUACAAUCCCGACAAGAGUCAGCAUAUCUAUUCAGUAAAAUGUCUGACAUGCCUGGCCAUAGUCUGAUCUUGACAUCUUCCAUUCUAGGAUGAUCAUUAAUAUAAUAGCAGUCUAGGGAAUCGUAUGGCAUAGUGAAUUAGUAAUGGGCUGUAGUCCUCUUCACCGGGCCUUGGUUGCCAAUUUGACUCCAGGUUGAUAGUGAUUUACAGUUGCCAUCUGAUGGUUGUUCAUGAAAUGAAUUGGUGAUUCUCAGGCCAGUUCCUAAUGGAAUUGUGUCCACAUCAUAAAAAUCAUCACCACACCAAUUUCUUUCAGUCAAACAGUGAAUGGGCCAUGCAGACCAAACCUCUCUCUCCAUUAGAGGCCAUCCCACCCACUCCUGGGGGAGGGGG